RNAcentral lists this long non-coding RNA (302 nucleotides) under Mytilus galloprovincialis (Mediterranean mussel). Lineage: Eukaryota; Metazoa; Mollusca; Bivalvia; Mytilida; Mytilidae. The record is from RNAcentral.
GUCAUCCAUUCAUAUGAUUAUUCAGAUUGAGUUAUUUUAGGAGAAAAACGAGAAAAAAGGCAUCCGGGUAUUGUCCCGUCAUUGUACGAAAUUUUAAGUCAGAUUAGACUUCCGGUUUGCGUUUUUCUGUAUACUUUGAACAUACAUAUACUACGAAUAAAGUGUAUUUUCAGAAUUUUAUCUGCUAUCAUUUUCAAGUUUACUAUCCACGGCAGUCACAGAGUUUAUUAAAUAGAGAGGGUCUGUAUACUAUAUCAAUGAUCACCAUGGAUCGAUUAGUAAACUUAGAAUUGAAAGUAAAU